This is a small nucleolar RNA of Pistacia vera, 106 nucleotides long. NCBI's taxonomy places the organism in Eukaryota, Viridiplantae, Streptophyta, Magnoliopsida, Sapindales, Anacardiaceae. The record is from RefSeq and is a predicted model, not a curated record.
AAUUCAUAGCGGGGACAUCUCCGGAGCAUGUCCUUGAACCUUUCCCAUGCUUCAUAUAAUGAUUAUGUAUCCACCUGCAUAAACAUAGUAAUAUCAUUACGUAACU